GUUAUAUGGUCAAGUGAAGAAGCGCAUACGGUGGAUGCCUUGGCAGUCAGAGGCGAUGAAAGACGUGGUAGCCUGCGAAAAGCUUCGGGGAGUCGGCAAACAGACUGUGAUCCGGAGAUGUCUGAAUGGGGGAACCCAGCCAUCAUAAGAUGGUUAUCUUGUACUGAAUACAUAGGUGCAAGAGGCGAACCAGGGGAACUGAAACAUCUAAGUACCCUGAGGAAAAGAAAUCAACCGAGAUUCCCUUAGUAGUGGCGAGCGAACGGGGACCAGCCCUUAAGUUGUAUUGAGAUUAGCGGAACGUUCUGGAAAGGACGGCCAUAGUGGGUGAUAGCCCUGUACGCGAAAAUCCCUUUGCAAUGAAAUCGAGUAGGACGGGGCACGAGAAACCUUGUCUGAAUAUGGGGGGACCAUCCUCCAAGGCUAAAUACUACUGACUGACCGAUAGUGAACCAGUACCGUGAGGGAAAGGCGAAAAGAACCGCGGAGAGCGGAGUGAAAUAGAUCCUGAAACCGUAUGCGUACAAGCAGUGGGAGCCCACUUUGUUGGGUGACUGCGUACCUUUUGUAUAAUGGGUCAGCGACUUAUUUUCAGUGGCGAGCUUAACCGAAUAGGGGAGGCGUAGCGAAAGCGAGUCUUAAUAGGGCGUCUAGUCGCUGGGAAUAGACCCGAAACCGGGCGAUCUAUCCAUGGGCAGGUUGAAGGUUGGGUAACACUAACUGGAGGACCGAACCGACUACCGUUGAAAAGUUAGCGGAUGACCUGUGGAUCGGAGUGAAAGGCUAAUCAAGCUCGGAGAUAGCUGGUUCUCCUCGAAAGCUAUUUAGGUAGCGCCUCAUGUAUCACUGUAGGGGGUAGAGCACUGUUUCGGCUAGGGGGUCAUCCCGACUUACCAAACCGAUGCAAACUCCGAAUACCUACAAGUGCCGAGCAUGGGAGACACACGGCGGGUGCUAACGUCCGUCGUGAAAAGGGAAACAACCCAGACCGUCAGCUAAGGUCCCAAAGUCAUGGUUAAGUGGGAAACGAUGUGGGAAGGCUUAGACAGCUAGGAGGUUGGCUUAGAAGCAGCCACCCUUUAAAGAAAGCGUAAUAGCUCACUAGUCGAGUCGGCCUGCGCGGAAGAUGUAACGGGGCUCAAACCAUGCACCGAAGCUACGGGUAUCAUCUUAGGAUGAUGCGGUAGAGGAGCGUUCUGUAAGCCUGUGAAGGUGAGUUGAGAAGCUUGCUGGAGGUAUCAGAAGUGCGAAUGCUGACAUGAGUAACGACAAUGGGUGUGAAAAACACCCACGCCGAAAGACCAAGGUUUCCUGCGCAACGUUAAUCGACGCAGGGUUAGUCGGUCCCUAAGGCGAGGCUGAAAAGCGUAGUCGAUGGAAAACAGGUUAAUAUUCCUGUACUUCUGGUUAUUGCGAUGGAGGGACGGAGAAGGCUAGGCCAGCCUGGCGUUGGUUGUCCAGGUUUAAGGUGGUAGGCUGAGAUCUUAGGUAAAUCCGGGAUCUUAAGGCCGAGAGCUGAUGACGAGUGUUCUUUAUAGAACACGAAGUGGUUGAUGCCAUGCUUCCAAGAAAAGCUUCUAAGCUUCAGGUAACCAGGAACCGUACCCCAAACCGACACAGGUGGUUGGGUAGAGAAUACCAAGGCGCUUGAGAGAACUCGGGUGAAGGAACUAGGCAAAAUGGCACCGUAACUUCGGGAGAAGGUGCGCCGGUGGAGGUGAAGCAUUUACUGCGUAAGCCCCUGCCGGUCGAAGAUACCAGGCCGCUGCGACUGUUUAUUAAAAACACAGCACUCUGCAAACACGAAAGUGGACGUAUAGGGUGUGACGCCUGCCCGGUGCCGGAAGGUUAAUUGAUGGGGUUAGCGCAAGCGAAGCUCUUGAUCGAAGCCCCGGUAAACGGCGGCCGUAACUAUAACGGUCCUAAGGUAGCGAAAUUCCUUGUCGGGUAAGUUCCGACCUGCACGAAUGGCGUAACGAUGGCGGCGCUGUCUCCACCCGAGACUCAGUGAAAUUGAAAUCGCUGUGAAGAUGCAGUGUAUCCGCGGCUAGACGGAAAGACCCCGUGAACCUUUACUAUAGCUUUGCACUGGACUUUGAAUUUGCUUGUGUAGGAUAGGUGGGAGGCUUUGAAGCGUGGACGCCAGUCUGCGUGGAGCCAACCUUGAAAUACCACCCUGGCAACUUUGAGGUUCUAACUCAGGUCCGUUAUCCGGAUCGAGGACAGUGUAUGGUGGGUAGUUUGACUGGGGCGGUCUCCUCCUAAAGAGUAACGGAGGAGUACGAAGGUGCGCUCAGACCGGUCGGAAAUCGGUCGUAGAGUAUAAAGGCAAAAGCGCGCUUGACUGCGAGACAGACACGUCGAGCAGGUACGAAAGUAGGUCUUAGUGAUCCGGUGGUUCUGUAUGGAAGGGCCAUCGCUCAACGGAUAAAAGGUACUCCGGGGAUAACAGGCUGAUACCGCCCAAGAGUUCAUAUCGACGGCGGUGUUUGGCACCUCGAUGUCGGCUCAUCACAUCCUGGGGCUGAAGCCGGUCCCAAGGGUAUGGCUGUUCGCCAUUUAAAGUGGUACGCGAGCUGGGUUUAGAACGUCGUGAGACAGUUCGGUCCCUAUCUGCCGUGGACGUUUGAGAUUUGAGAGGGGCUGCUCCUAGUACGAGAGGACCGGAGUGGACGAACCUCUGGUGUUCCGGUUGUCACGCCAGUGGCAUUGCCGGGUAGCUAUGUUCGGAAAAGAUAACCGCUGAAAGCAUCUAAGCGGGAAACUUGCCUCAAGAUGAGAUCUCACUGGAACCUUGAGUUCCCUAAAGGGCCGUCGAAGACUACGACGUUGAUAGGUUGGGUGUGUAAGCGCUGUGAGGCGUUGAGCUAACCAAUACUAAUUGCCCGUGAGGCUUGACCAUAUAACACCCAAGCAAUU
RNAcentral lists this ribosomal RNA (2919 nucleotides) under Pseudomonas syringae. RNAcentral's name for it is "bacterial LSU rRNA". It matches the Rfam family "Bacterial large subunit ribosomal RNA". The record is from RNAcentral. Lineage: Bacteria; Pseudomonadati; Pseudomonadota; Gammaproteobacteria; Pseudomonadales; Pseudomonadaceae.